UGCCGGAGUGCUUGCACUUUGGCAGACUGAGUGGCGGACGGGUGAGUAACGCGUGGGUAACCUGCCUUAUACAGGGGGAUAACAGUUGGAAACGACUGCUAAUACCGCAUAAGCGCACGGUAUCGCAUGGGACAGUGUGAAAAACUCCGGUGGUGUGAGAUGGACCCGCGUCUGAUUAGCUAGUUGGUGGGGUAACGGCCUACCAAGGCGACGAUCAGUAGCCGACCUGAGAGGGUGACCGGCCACAUUGGGACUGAGAUACGGCCCAGACUCC
This 274-nucleotide ribosomal RNA is filed under the name uncultured Lachnospiraceae bacterium. Its description in RNAcentral is "partial 16S ribosomal RNA". It matches the Rfam family "Bacterial small subunit ribosomal RNA", at positions 69 to 339 of the family's 1533-position model. The record is from RNAcentral. Lineage: Bacteria; Bacillati; Bacillota; Clostridia; Lachnospirales; Lachnospiraceae.